Molecule: long non-coding RNA, 1262 nt
Filed under: Phasianus colchicus (ring-necked pheasant)
Lineage: Eukaryota; Metazoa; Chordata; Aves; Galliformes; Phasianidae
Description: lncRNA (ENSPCLG00000000708.1)
Source: RNAcentral
CAAACCUGAACUACCUAGUGAAGACCUGCAGAAAAAGAAGUGGAAGAAUUCUGAGCCUCCUAAUUUGAGUGGAGGUUAUAGCACAAUAUUAUUAAGAUCAAACUGCCUCUUGCCUCAAAUCAAGAAGAAAAAAACUCUUCUUUGACUAAAGCCAGCUCCAGCUCUGAAGAAAGGCAGCCUGGCUUGCCCGACACACUUGGUACAGAAGCUUCUCCAGCAUAUGUUCCUGCCAACAGGAGACGAGAUCAACUUGCAUCAGAGGGAGGUCACUGGAUUCCUUGAAAAGAGAAGGUGGCUGUGCAUGACUUCCUGUCGUCGUGCUUUCCUAGGCUAUAGGGUAGCAACUGAUCUUCCUCAGCAAGUUCAGUGCCGUGGAGCAACAGGAUUCCUGUCAGCCCACCAGGAUGGUGACAUCUGUGCUCUUGCAUACCAAUGUUUGGGAAGGAGGCAUGAGACCUGACAUCCAGCACAGUCAGGAACCAGCUAAAUCAAGAUAAUGUGGAAAGAAGAGAAACUCCAGAUCUAUGGAGUAAGUAGCCUUAGUUGUUCUAGCUAUGCCUGGCUAAUCUGUCAGUAUUAAGGAAGACACUGAAUGUUGAAAAAAACAGAAAACAAAAAAAAAUCCCAAUGUCCAUGAGCAUUCUCUCAUGUACUAUAUGAAUAUAUAGUGGGAUUGCCUGGGAUUGGCCUCCCUUGAGGCAUUCAAGAACAGAUUGGACAUGGCCUGCCCGCAGCAGGGAUAUGGAUCUCGAUAAUCUUAAAUAUCUCUUCCAACCUAAACUAUUCUAUGAUUCUAUGGUUCCAUGUAAAUCACAGUAUUUUGUAGAAGUUUGGUUUUUUUUACCUCUUAUGGGGAAAAUUCAAGAUAUUGUUUUCAUUUGAUGAGUUGCUUAAAGUAUUGUAAGUGAAUGCUAUGAACUAUCUGUGUAUGAUAUUUGACAUGUUAAAGAUGUAGUAUUGCAACACAGAAUGACAUACAAAACCAAAGUGAAAUAGUUCUGAGCAAAAUAUUUUAAAACAUCUUGUACUGAUUUUUGCAUGUUUUCUAUCUCUCUCUCUUUUUUUUUUUUUUUUAAUUUAAGAAUUUACAAUAGCAGGAAAUGAUUUUUCCAGGAGUAGUUCUUACUCUAACAACGAACAAGAAUUAUUGAAAUGUUGAAUGGCCUGCAAACAGAAAUUUCAGUUCUCAGCUGGCUCUGUCCACUGGUAUAUCAACAUAUUUUUGAACACUGAAACAAUCCAUGGCAAAGACAAUAGAUAGC